UUUGUCAUAGUCAUAGCGUAGGAAAGACCACAGGGAUUGCCUUAGUAACGGCGAGUGAGCGGCAAAAGCUCAAAUUUGAAAUCUGGCACUUUCAGUGUCCGAGUUGUAAUUUGAAGAAGGUAACUUUGGAGUUGGCCCUUGUCUAUGUUCCUUGGAACAGGACGUCACAGAGGGUGAGAAUCCCGUGCGAUGAGGUGUCCAAUUCUAUGUAAAGUGCUUUCGAAGAGUCGAGUUGUUUGGGAAUGCAGCUCUAAGUGGGUGGUAAAUUCCAUCUAAAGCUAAAUAUUGGCGAGAGACCGAUAGCGAACAAGUACAGUGAUGGAAAGAUGAAAAGAACUUUGAAAAGAGAGUGAAAAAGUACGUGAAAUUGUUGAAAGGGAAGGGCUUGAGAUCAGACUCGGUAUUUUGCAAGCCUAUCCUUCGUGGAGAGGUUUAUUAGCAGCUUACCGGGCCAGCAUCGGUUUGGAUGGUAGGAUAAUGGCAUUGGAAUGUGGCUCUUCGGAGUGUUAUAGCCUUUGUUGAUACUGCCUAUCUAGACCGAGGACUGCGUCUUUGACUAGGAUGCUGGCGUAAUGAUCUUAAGCCGCCGUCUGAACACGACGACAA
This is a ribosomal RNA of 606 nucleotides. It matches the Rfam family "Eukaryotic large subunit ribosomal RNA", at positions 34 to 668 of the family's 3401-position model.